Molecule: long non-coding RNA, 9735 nt
Filed under: Olea europaea (common olive)
Lineage: Eukaryota; Viridiplantae; Streptophyta; Magnoliopsida; Lamiales; Oleaceae
Description: long non-coding RNA (OEUR_LNC003198)
Source: RNAcentral
CACCAUCACCACCAUCACCACCGACACCAUCACGAUCCUAGUCGUGCUCCUGGUAUUUCACCUGCACCAUCAACAGGUGAAAGUGGACCUGUAACAGGAAAAGAAUCACCCGAGCCUGCACCCGUGUCUGCACUAGCACCAGGGAAGAGUCAAGUGGCGAAGCCUCCUGGUUGUCAUUUUGGUUACAAAAAUAGGUUUCCCCGAAAACCCAAUGAGGGUUAUCAUAUGAGACCUACGGCAUCUCCGGUUUAUGCACCAAGUGUUACUCCUUCACAACCACCUCAGCAAUUUGAUCCACCGAUACCUGAUGUACCUCCAGUUCCUGCUACAAGCCCAUCAUCAAAUGUAGCUUAUAAUCAUAAUCACCCCCCAUCAAAGAGUGAUCAUGCAGGGCCUCCAGAUAAACUGCCAUUAGUUUCACCUGCACUCUCUCCAUGUGAGUAAUUGUUUCUUUGGAUGUUAAGACAAGUAUGUCUCUAUUCCGUGUGGGCAAUAGUUUUAAUAAUGUGGUGAUUGUUUCUUUUCGCUCUUUUGAACCAUUACAUUUCUUUUGCAGCCUCUGCAGGUACCUUUUCCUCCAGUUUAUGGGCUUUUCCGCUGUUCCUACUCUUCACGCAUUUGUGGCAGCAGAGAAUGUGAAGCGUUUUUGUUGUGGCAAUUCGAAAACAGUGAAACUUGUCCCUGUAAUAUCAUCUCACCCGAAUUAAACAGAGGAACAGGAGGAAUUUUGCAAGUGAGAGCAGUGCCAAAAGGGCGCAACUCACAAGUGGUUAAGAAACUAUAUUACUGUUUUGGGCAUGUAAAUAUUUGUUUGUAUUAUCGACGGCUAAAUGCAUUCGGGUCAAAGUCACAGAGGUGACGGGCCUGUGAUGACAUGUUACGCCGCCUUAUUGUGUAUGAUAUCACUUCUACAUAAAUUCGAGGGAAAAUUGUAAUACAUCACUCUGUUUUGUUGAUGUUCUCUUGUAAGUCCCAUGAUUAUUGAUACCAACAAGGGCGAAGUACGAUCACGAUAUAUAGGCCCCAAGUAACUGCACAACAAAAUAGGGUCUGACUCUUAGGAUAGCAGAUCAUCUAGGUGGAUCGUUGUGGUCUGUAGUACAAUUUUUGAUGUUAAGGAUUUUCAGAAGAGACAAUAGCAGAGCAUAUCGAUAUAACUACUCUCGAUUUAACUGAACAUUGUUAAAGGAAGGUGUAAUCAAAUUUAACUUAAUUGUUCGGUGAGGGCAUCCGUAGAACUUGUUAUACAUGUACCUGUGAAAAUUGGAUUUAGACGUAAAUAAGUGACCAUAUGAAUUGAAUUCAAGACAUUCAUUUAGUUCGAUACUAUGUUGAACCACUUCAUCAAUUAAAAUAUAUAAACCUUUUUAUUUAAAAUCUAUCUUCGACAAUUUGAUCAACUGGUUGGCCGGAUGCAGAUGAAACCAAUAUGCUCAAUUUAUACAAAUUGGAUAUUUGGCUUGUUGACAUUUGCACGUGCUCCGGUUUAAGCAUGUACUUUGAUUCAUUUAAGCCACAUCUUUGUCACUUCACUAACGAAGGGUUCGAGUGGAACAGAACAAACGAUGUCGAGCUAAGAGCACCUUCAUUCCUAUUUUGUUGGUUGGUUAAUUGGGCACAUUAACGUACCAAAUAAAUUUGGCGAAUAUUUGUGGAUUGCAAGUUUCUUUUCUUUUUAUUCCCAAUAUUCUAUGUCCGAGAAUACACUGAAAAAUACUUGAGAAUAGACCAUUGAAAAGUAAUAUCAAGAUUCCAAAGAGCAAGAAACACAAAAUUCUAAAUUGGCCAUAAAUCACAAAAACUUUGAUUCCUUUCCUCAUUUGAUAAAUGACCUAAUGGUCUGGUCCUUGUGCAAAUAUGCAAAACAAAGACCUUUUUUUUGGGCAAUAGAGAAGGGAUGCACGACUCUUUAUCAACUUGAACGCAAAAGUUGUUAGACAGAAUAUAUAAAAUCAUAUUUAGUAAAUGAAGAAUAUAAAGAAAAUUAUUACAAUAAGAGUGUGUUUGAUUGACAAGGAAAAUAUCACCUAGAAAAGAAAAUAUUUUCCAUCUUUUGUGGAAAAUAAAAACCACCUCUACCCAAGGAAAAUAUUUUCCUUAAAAACAAGGAAAAUUAGGCAUAUUUUCAAAAGUUGGAAAAUGUUUUCCAUGGAAAAAAAUAGCAAUCAAACACUUCAAGUAGGAAUUUGGGUGGAAAACUGAUAUUUUCCAUGGAAAAUAAAUGUAAUCAAACACACCCUAAUAGAUUACGGAAUUGCAAAUAAAAUUAUCUCAAUGAUAAAUUUAUGGAGAUCGAAUUACAAGAUUCGAUCCCUCACUUAAGUGUUCAAACUUCAAAGUUUAUUUAAAAUAUGUCUAUCAGGAUACAAUAGCGAAACCAAUAUCAAGUAGAGCACCAAGCUUUUGCACGACAAAUUGAAUUUUGCGUGAACACUACUAAGGGACCAAACUUUGAAUCCACAAUUGUGCCUGCAAGACUUGCUUGCAGACAAGUUGAAUGUCCUGAGAUGCAACUCCCCUUGCACACGAAUGAGAGAGCAUCUAUGCUAUAUAAGCUUACACCUUCAUAAAAUGUAGUCAUUUAUAAUCGAGUAUUUGCCUAAUCAUUUUAAAAAUGUGGGAUAAACUUCUGUAACUUUCCCUUCAAUAUUUUUCAACUUCAAUGGGUGCUCUUGAACUUUAAUUUUUUAUUCACCCAAGCGUCAUUUUGAGCAUGCAAAUAUAUACUUUCGAAGUUCUUAUUUUGGAGAACACAAAUUUACUUUAAUCUUCCUAAAAAAAUGAAAUGGGCCGCACUCAAAAUUAUGCCAAAAUACGUUAAUUUCGAACAAUCUACUACAUGAAUGAAAAUUGAUAGAGACCACGGAAAAUACAAAGAGAAAGUGAUAAAGUUCAAUGGUCAAAACUUGCAUAGAUAAUUAUGUAUUAUACUUUGGAUGUACCUCUAUGAAAGUAUAUUUAUUUUACUAGUUGAUUAGUAGACAUGAUAUUUAUCGUUGAGCAUGUUUCCUCAUGUUUCCAUUUACCAUGUGACGAGUAAAAUAAAAUAUAUUACUUUCAAUUAAACAAUAUUAUGAAAGUAGGGUAGUGACUUAGGACUCGUUAGAUAUGACUUUUACUUUUGCUUUCCCUUCCUAUAGAAGACUUUUUGUAGAAAGCUAGCUUAAUUUUUGUUUGAAAACUAAUUUUUAAAAAUAUUUUCUAUUUUAUAAGUGUUUUUAGAGCAAUUCACGUCGAACCUUUUUCUCUUGAAGUUAUUCAAAAUAAAAGAAAUAUUUUCAUAAAUUAGUCAAACUGAUCCAAAAGUUGCAUUUGAAAUUUCCGAAUUUUCAAAAAUCAUGUCAAACGAUCUUUAAUUAGAUAAUAUUUUCGAUAUUGUCUCUGAUUUGGACAAAGAUUUUAGUAAACAGUAAUUUCCAUUUAAGGUGGAAACCAUAAAAUCCAAGAAAACAGAUAAUGUCAUCAACAUAUUUCCACUUUAUUAUCGCUACAGACAACAGUUGAUCUGCACAAGUUAAUUCAAAUCCAAACCCUAAAAAGAAAUGAAUGUUUUCUCUCACUCCACCCUUUAACCCCUCACCAAAAAUUCCCUACUUUAUUUUUUUCUCUUUAUAGAGAGACAAGAAAUAUAAUAGAAAGGGAAAGAAACGACAGCCAUGGACUCUCUCUCACCAAAAUACACCAGCAAUGGAGCCUAGAAAGAAAACCCAAAAGGGCAAAAACAAGAAUAAUCCACAUUGCUGAAAUUUACUACAAUGGGGAAGGCAGAGGAUGAGCAACCUUUGCCUAGUACGACUCUUAAUACUCAGAGCGCAACUCCGAAUGCAGGGAACAGUAAUGGGUGCUGCUUGGGUUGCAGUAGACUACUUAGAAAGGUUGUGACUUUCAGAUGUAUAUUUGUUUUGGUGCUCGGUGUUGCAGUACUUCUAUCUGCUGUUUUUUGGCUUCCAUUCUUACGUUUAGGGGGUGAGAAGCAUCUGGAUCUGGAUUAUCCAGGUUGGUAUGACUAUAUUUCAUAUCCCAAUUUUUAUAAUAGAUUUGGAUAGUUAAUAUGGCACAUGAAGAUCUGUGUAUAUGUUUUGUGAUGCUAGUAAAUUAUGUUUGUGCAGGUCAUAUCUGGGUUUUUGUCUCGGGUUUGAUAUAUUGUUGGAUUUGGGAUUUUUGGGGUGCUUGUUUGGGGGAUUGAAUUUUUGAAUUUUUAUGAGUGAUUGAAUGCUUUCUUAUUUUUAGGGUUACUGAACAAUUUGAGUUGUUUUUUCUCUUAAAGAUUUUGGUCAUAGUAAAUAACAAAUCGAAAACCUAUGAGCUACAUUCUGGAUUACAUCAUACAUGUAAUUGGGCAUUUUAGUGUUGUAUACUAUUUGUCGAUGGGAUUAGAUCUCUUUUCUUACCCUCUGGCUCUUCAUUUUGUUUGUUGAUUGGAUUCCUCUUUGAUUAAUGGAAAUGUAAAUUUAAAAUUUCACUGUUCUUGAUGAGGUCAGAUUUUACCAUUGGAAUGUGUAAAUUCAGUGUCGUGUAGGAAACUUCUGUUAUUUUCUGAAUCACCCAAAACUGAAAGUUUGCUACGUGGUUGUGACUGAUGUUAUGUUUUUGAGUUUUCAUUUCCAAUUUACAGGAUUAAUUUUGUAGAGCUGUAGGUUCUUGAGUUGAUAGAUUAAAAAUAGUUUUGAUUGUUAUUGGAGGUUUCCAGGCAUAAUUAGCGUGUUUAAUUAACUUUUGAUUGAUAGAUUAUAUCCAAGGAUUUUCAGAAUUUUACCACAGCUGCUGGAGAUACAAGUUCUUGCAAUGCAAGCUUCAGUAACUUGGUGCUGUAGCAUUUAAUUGUUUUUAGCCAUUCAAAGAUAUUGUAGAAAGAAUUAUAAUAUCAUUUUGUUUUCUUGCACUUGAACAACCUAAUUUUUUUGUUACUUUAUUUCAGUCAAGUACUCACUUCCACCUUAUGCCAUGCUUGAACGUUAAGAGUUACAAGAUGCAAUGUGGCAUGCAACAGUACUUCAUAUGACACAAUAGAACUGAAAAGACCAAUCUUCUUGAACUGAAAUGUUGUAAUAGGAUUCAAACAUAUUAUCACUGAGCUAUGUCUAAGAAAGAUUAGAAAAUGUAAUAAGAAAUGGAGAAAAAGAAUCUCCUUCUAAGACUACUAACGUACAUUUUAGGACAGAACACGAAAGCUUUCAUUCUUGAAAUUAUAGUUAUGGCAGCUGUAUUAAUGAAAUUAACUUUGUAAAAACUCAACUGUCAUUCUAGAUUAGACUAAACUGCUAUUUGGUUUGGAUAAAAAUUAGAUUUUUAGUAUAUUUUGAUAAAAGUUGGUGAAAUAUUGCAUUUGUGGUUGAAAAUUUGAUAAUGUUGAGGGUCCCAUAAAAUGCAUGGUUAAAAAUGAUUUAGGAAAAAAAAUGAGUUUUAUCAAAUAAGGGCUAAAUUGAUCGAAGAAAAGGUUAUAUUAUUUGUUGGGGGUAAUACACCCAUAAUGUGCAUAUUAUAUUCAAAAGAGACGUACCGAUUUCCAACAUUAUUUACCUAUUACUAAACACCCACCGUCAAAUAUGACAUGAAUGAGGUAAGGUAUACAUAAACAAAGCAGAAAAUCCUAACAAAAGGGAUUGGAAUGUACGUCAUACUUCACUUGCUUGAUCCUCUUUGCAAUCAUGAGAUAAAAGGAAGGUUCAAUAGUUCAUGAUACUCAUUUAUUAGAAUCUGCACAAUGAGAUACGAAGUGAUGAGGUAAGAUGCACCUAAAUGUGGAGAAGUCUAAUACGUAAAGGCGGUUGGACUCUACAUCACAUUCAUGUGUUCGGUUCUCAAUAAUUUUGUAUACUUGGUGGUUAGAAAGCUUUGGCCCUUUUUAAGUGCUUAUGUGGCUAUCUUAAACUGGUAAAUCAUUCAUUUUUGAUGUUGGAAUUAUAAAGCUUCAACAUAAUUGCAUUUAUUCAAAAGGUUUUGUUUGCAUCCAUAUGACUUGCUCCACAAGAUGAAUAAAUAGCAAUUUAACUUCUUUUUGUCUAAUGGUGGGGCACAAAUACCAUCAUUUACUGAAUUUUGAAUAUCAAAGUUGAGGGUUUAAAGACAUUUUACGCUCUUCCCUAUAUCUCACUUGCUUUGAUUUCCAGGAUUUAUCUUUUUUCUCGUCAUUUUGAACCUUUUUUUGUGCUUACAUGGUAUGUUACGACGCUUCUACCAUUGUCUCUUUGUGAUAUAAUUAGUAAAUACCAAGUGAAUAGUGAGUAUUCUCUCUUGUAUAAUUAUUGUUUUGUAUAAAGCCUUAUUACUUCUUCAUUUAUUAUGAACAUCUCUCUACUAUAUUACUUCUAAGUUUUAUGACUGCAUUUGUUUGGCAAAAUUUAUAAAUCAUUUAUAAAUUGUCAAACUUCAUUUCAAUCACAUAUUUUAAUGGAUCUACAAGUACUCUCCACUUAUUCAUUAUUUAUUUCUAUCUAUUUAUAAAUUAAACCAUUUAUAAAUUCUUCCAAAAUGGAGGCUAUUAUAUUUCCAUAAAAGCCCUGUUAGCCAUUCUAGCCUAUUUUGUGAUGUAGUUGGGAUGGCAGGGUAGAAAAAAAUUUUGAUUGGCCAAUAUAUGAUGAAGCCCCAGUUUCUUGAAGGAAAAUUAAGAGAAAGACUUGAAUAGGCGCCUACUCAUUUGCACACUCUUAAAGUUCUUGAAAGAAUUAAAACCAUAUAAGUUGAAAAAAUUAGAUAAUUUCAGGGAUGCAGUAGAGGCCAUGUUAAUAAGCUCUUAAAAACUCGACUUACAAAUAACUACUUGCCAAAAGCCUACCCAUCAAUAUAUGGUAAGACAUGAGGGCUUAAAUACCACCAAAAUGAGCUUCAGAUUCAUUACAAAAGCUCAUAAGAAAAUCCUAGAAUUCAUAAAAUAAUCGCAAUAGGUGAAAUGCGUAAUAUAAUUUUCUUAUUUUUUCAUGGAUCAAUUAUUGACUGGAUUGGAGAAAACUUGCUCUGGAGUUUUGACUUUCCACAGUUAUUAGAUUGUCCUAGAGUUUUGACUUCCGAUGAUUAUUAGGUUGUCCUAUCUACCAUUUCCAUUGUUUUUGCUUGUUCUUCCAUCUUGUAAAAUCAGAUUUUCCAUGUAACGAAGCUAUUUUGUUUGCGAUAAAUUUCUGUGUAAAUUAUCCAUGUAGUGUAUCUUAAAUAGUGAAGCCUGUGUGUGUACUUUUCAAUAUGUCUUUCAAUCUAAUCAGAUUAUAUGCUUGUUCAAUCGACUUGAAUUAAAAUAAGGGGGAAAAACUCUCUACAAUCAAGAUUGAACCCGAGAAAAAUUAAACACUAUUACUAUUGAAUAAUGACGAGUUAAUGUACCAAAAAAUACGUCAGCUGGAACUACUAAGAAAUACGAUCUGAGAUACCUUAAAAUAACUUGGAAAAGGAAACAAAAUACCCUAUUGCAUACUUUCCGUUCUCCCAAGAAGUGUGCAUAUAAGCUAUAUUACUUGUCAUUUAUAUAGAUUGGCAUGAACCACAAAACUAACAUCCCUGCAUUCUGAAGAUACCUUUCCCCCUUCAGUUCACUAUAUAUUCCCAUAUCUAUUUCUCAAGCAUAUGCACGUAUCUUACAAUUUGUGCUUGUUACUUAUUAGAAUUAAUUUUCAUGCCUAAUAAUGAGUCAUAUUGAACAACUGCUGGAUUCACUUUAUCUGUUAAUUGGGGACUAUUAUCUACUCAUAGUUCAGUUCUUUAGGUAUUUCAAUUUAUUUUUCUUAGUGUACAAAAAGAUGGGUAGGUCAAGGAUUAUGACUCAUUUGCAGAGUUGGCUGAUGAAUGUCAAACCAGAGAGAGCGCUGUGGAUUCUUUUAAUACAUGAUUUUUGGGGAAUUAUAAAAACUUGAAGUAAUGCAAGAUUUUAGGCUAUAAAUUCGAUCACGCUAGUGGGCAGUUGUAAUAUGAGCAUGGAAGUCAAGGUAGGCCACAAAUGGGCGUUUAGCUGAAUUUCCAACCACUGCUUAUGGUAGUUAGAUGGUUCAAAAGUUUGUUAUUUUCGGAUUGUAAUUUGUGAAUACUUUGUGCUGAAGACUAAAUGAUAUACAUGAGAUUUUCUGUACCAGCUUGAGCUUUUAGAUUAAGUGGUUCUACACACGGCUAUUUUAUUUAUCAUUAAUUAGGCUCAAUAAGGCUAGACAAGAUUUAAAUGAUAUAUAUGUGACUUUAUCUAACAACUUUAGCUUUUAGAUAAAGUGGUUUUACACAUGACUAUUUUAUUUAUCAUUAAUUAGAAUCAACAAGGCUACUUCUAUUUAAGAUCGUCUUUAUGAAUUCUGUGUUGCAAAUGCGGAAGGUUUCGGAAACAUAGUAUAAUCUGGACCACUGGCUCAUCUCAUUUUGGGCAUUUGGCCUCUUUGACAUUUUUGUUUGAUAUUCUCAGGUCAUGAUAUAGUGGCAAGUUUUAUGAUUAAGAAGCCAUCUUCUUUUCUCGACAACUAUGUCAUACAACUCGAGAAUGAUAUUUUUGCAUUAAUAAGUUUCCCCACAACAAAAGUACGGACAGUUCUCUCUCUCUUUCUCUCAUCCAGUUUUAACUUUGUUGCUGUUUUUUAUUAUUUGUAUUGAUUCUUGCUCUCUCGGUAAUGUAAUCUUCUAUGACAGGUGGAAAUAAUAAAAUUCACACCAGCUGGAUCAAACACGACGAAUGUAGUGUUUGCUGUUGAAUCUGAUGUAACAACCCGCAGUUUAAUAAGAGCUUCUUUUGUCUCCAUGGUUAUACAUCCAUCGUACCUGCAUUUGACUCCAUCCUUGUUUGGGGAUCCUUUUUCUUUCGAGGUGCUCAAAUUUAAAGGAGGGAUUACUGCUAGUCCUAAUCAGAAGGCAUUCCUUUUGCAGAAAGUUCAGAUCCGUUUCAACUUCACUUUGAACUUUUCCAUCGAUGAAUUACUGAAUAAUUUCUAUGAACUUACCAGCCAACUGAAGUCAGGCUUACAUCUUGCUACUUAUGAGGUCCGAUAAUGUUAAUUCUUUUUCUUUUUCACCAUGAAGAUUAUUGUUUUAUCGUCAAGUGAAGCAUAUGUGUGCUUUCUAUCUUUUAUUUACUGAGUCAUGUUUGGUCAAACUUGAAGUUACGUAAACUUUAAAGAUAUGCAAAAUCUUCUCUGGAAAUGUGAUUAAAUUCAUGAACAUCACUAAUUUUGAAACUAUGUAUGUGUGAUUGAUGAUAUUUCCUUUGAGUUUGUGAUGAUUCUGUACAACUAAUAAUCUUCUUUGGCUUGUUUUCUGCAAUGCAGAACUUGUACCUUAGCCUGACAAAUCUGAAAGGUUCAACAAUGGUUCCACCCACUACGGUUGACACGCAAGUUGUUUUGGCAGUGGGACUUAAUCCCUCGAAAUCCAGGUUAAAGCAGUUGGCUAAAACCAUCACCAAUUCUCAUACCAAAAAUCUUGGACUAAAUAACACUGUAUUUGGUCGGGUUAAGCAAGUUCGUCUUUCAUCUAUGUCCAUCAAUGUUACCUCACCAUCACCAUCACCGUCUCCGUCUCCAUAUCCUCUGCCCCCAUCCCACCACCAUCACCACCAUCACCACCGACACCAUCACGAUCCUAGUCGUGCUCCUGGUAUUUCACCUGCACCAUCAACAGGUGAAAGUGGACCUGUAACUGGAAAAGAAUCACCCGAGCCUGCACCCGUGCCUGCACCAGCACCAGCACUAGCACCAGGGAAGAGUCAAGUGGCGAAGCCUCCUGGUUGUCAUUUUGGUUACAAAAAUAGGUUUCCCCGAAAACCCAAUGAGGGUU